RNAcentral lists this ribosomal RNA (1015 nucleotides) under uncultured korarchaeote. Its description in RNAcentral is "bacterial SSU rRNA". It matches the Rfam family "Archaeal small subunit ribosomal RNA", at positions 194 to 1205 of the family's 1478-position model. Lineage: Archaea; Thermoproteati; Thermoproteota. The record is from RNAcentral.
CGCUGAGGCCCCAGGGUGGGACCGCGGCCUAUCAGGUAGUAGGUGGGGUAACGACCCCACCUAGCCUACGACGGGUACGGGCCCUGAGAGGGGGAGCCCGGAGAUGGGCACUGAGACAAGGGUCUAGGCCCUAAGGGGCGCAGCAGGCGCGAAGAUUCCGCAAUGCCCGAAAGGGCGACGGAGUGAACCCGAGUGCCACCCGCUGAGGGUGGCUGUUCCCCUGUGUAAAAAGCAGGGGGCAGGAAGGGGAGGGCAAGGCUGGUGGCAGCCGCCGCGGUAAAACCAGCUCCCCGAGGGGUUCCCACGCAUACUGGGCCUAAAGCGUCCGUAGCCGGCCCUGUAAGUCUGCAGUUAAAUCCGCCUGUAGACAGGCGGGUUGCUGCAGAUACUGCAGGGCUAGGGAGCGGGAGGAGCCGGGGGUAUUCCCGGGGGAGCGGUAAAAUGCGUAGAUCCCGGGAGGACCACCAGUGGCGAAGGCGCCCGGCUUGAACGCGUCCGACGGUGAGGGACGAAAGCUGGGGGAGCAAACCGGAUUAGAUACCCGGGUAGUCCCAGCCGUAAACAAUGCCGGCUAGGUGCUGGCCAAGGUUUCGGCCUUGGCCAGUGUCGAAGCGAAGGCAUUAAGCCGGCCGCCUGAGGAGUACGGCCGCAAGGCUGAAACUUGAAGGAAUUGACGGGGGGGCACCACAAGGGGUGAAUGCCUGCGGCUUAAUUGGACUCAACGCCGGGAAUCUUACCGGGGGCGACAGCAGGAUGAAGGUCAGGCUGAAGACCUUACCAGACGCGCUGAGGGGUGGUGCAUGGCCGUCGCCAGCUCGUGCCGUGAGGUGUCCUGUUAAGUCAGGCAACGAGCGAGACCCCCGCCCCUAGUUGCCAGCGGCCUCCUUCGGGAGGGACCGGGCAAACUAGGGGGACCGCCUCCGAAGAGGAGGAGGAAGGUGGGGGCUACGGCAGGUCAGUAUGCCCCUAAUCCCCCGGGCCGCACGCGGGCUGCAAUGGGCGGGACAGCGGGAUG